AGGUUCUCUGGCUAGCCCACAACGCCCACUUCGUCAUUACUCAUUGCCGUAAUUCUGGCUCCUGACAACAGUAUAAAAAAGGAGAAAUGGGAGAAUGAGACCGGGAGGUCGCCCUGUCUUGGGCCGGUCUGGGAGUCCCACUGAGUCACUGCUCACUUCUGGCCCAGGGAAGGCACAGCUAAGUGAACAUCUAUUGAAUGCCGGCUCUGUGCCAGUCACGUGGGAUACAAAGACCCUCAAGGAGUGGAGGAGACAGACAAGUCAACAGAAAGUAACAGUGUAGGCAGCAGAGCGAUAGCAGAGAUGAGGAAACAGAGGCCCACAAAAUGUGAAACGGCACAUCCCACAUCUCACUGAUGCACACUGCGGAUGCUGUGGGCCGACAUCCACGCCAGACCCAAGCUGCCUCCUUAUCUCUGCAGUGUCCCAGCACCCCUCAGGAGCCAUGGACCAUUGCCCCAGCAUCUUUUAUAUUAGUGCCAGUUAAUAUCUUCUGACCCAGGCUGAGCCACGGAGAUGGGAUGCUCAGGUUGGCGUCUGAAGCAGGCUGAAGGAGCAGCCCCACACUACUGUUUCAACAGCUGAUGAAGUUAAGAGAAGAGGCUGACUAUGGGGACCCAGGGAAGCCUGCUUCGACAGGUCCCUACCUGGAUACUGAAGGACCUCGUCUUCACACAGCCUUGUGGCCCAAGCGCAAACUAGGACCGCACCGGGAAAUCAACUUGAACACUUGCUGAAGAUGAAACAAUUGCAAAUAAAUAAAGAUUCUGUGACUUCAGAGGAUUCAGAAACCCUGGCUGAAGGAAUAUCCUCCCGCUCUCGACUACGUUUGGUGGCAGUGGGCCCAGAAAGAUGACUUUCAAGUUUGGAGACAAGGACAGGAGUCCUUGGGGCAAUAGUUCAGCAUAGGGAAAAGGACUCCACAUGUCAGGGAGGGAGUAUUAAGCUGACAUAGAGAUAUGGUGAUGGGUUGUCUUGGGAGCUGCUCAAAGGAAAUAUUUCUCCUAGUUCCAGGUCUGAAGUCAGCCUUAGAAAGGGAUAUUAGGCUUUUGGUUUUUAGUUUCUGUUUUUGUUUUAACUUAUCCUGGCUUCAGUUUUCCUCUCCACUAUCUCACUCUUCCCUUGGUCUUAAUUUCUUCUUUGGUGACCGUUGGUGACAAGGUUUUGCUUCCACUUAUCCCAUCCCCGUCCCACUCACCCACCCUAUACAAAAACAUUAUCGCUAACCUAUCAGGAGAAAGGAGAGGAGUCAACAUUUUAGUAAGGGAGCAAAUGCAAGGAGUGAAAAAUAAACAACAAAUACAUAAACGAGAAAAGACUUUUUGAAAAGUUAUCUGUUAGCUUACCAAGAGAGACAAGAUUGGGGUGGAGGAAAUCAAAGGGAGGAGUUUUCGCCCUUAAAAUCUGUAUACAACCAUAUUGUUGGAACUUCUUUUUGCCUUAGACACAUGUUACUAUUGUGUUCUUUUUGGGUUUUUUUUUUAUGAUUUUUAAAAAUAUUUAUUUAUUUGUUUAUUUUGGUUGCACCAGGUCUUAGUUGCGGCGGGCAGACUUUUUUUUUUUUUUUUUUACAAGAGUUAAACAAACUGACACCAAGCAUUGUAAGUGGGUGACCACAACAAAAGCAACAAUGAUUGCAAUUACCAAACACGAAACACACUCAUACUGUGUCAUAAUAUUGACAUUCAGUCCAGUAGUCCUCCACUGUAACAGCUCCUUUACUUUGCAGUGAAAGUUGAUUUGUAUAUUUUUUGCCGCUGAGACUAUUGUGUUUUUAAAAAGUAAAAGUAGGCAGAGCCUGCUACUACGCUGUCAUUAUUAAUAUCACUAGCCACCAUGACUUUAUCUCAUUUAGCUCGUCUGAUUCCUGAACUCAUUCCAUGGGAUGGUGGAUACAGUUUCAUCUUUGCUAAGCCUGUGCUUUCCACAUCCACUGAAUAAACACAAACGAAACCAAUAAUUCUCUGUUGAUCUUUUUCUUUGUGGU
Molecule: long non-coding RNA, 1987 nt
Organism: Balaenoptera ricei (Rice's whale)
Lineage: Eukaryota; Metazoa; Chordata; Mammalia; Artiodactyla; Balaenopteridae
Exons: 4
Source: RefSeq, a predicted model, not a curated record